GGCGGGUCUUUAUGGCCMACCUCCMCCCGUGACUUUGUACCUUGUUGCUUCGGCGGGCCCGCCAGCGUUGCUGGCCGCCGGGGGGCGACUCGCCCCCGGGCCCGUGCCCGCCGGAGACCCCAACAUGAACCCUGUUCUGAAAGCUUGCAGUCUGAGUGUGAUUCUUUGCAAUCAGUUAAAACUUUCAACAAUGGAUCUCUUGGUUCCGGCAUCGAUGAAGAACGCAGCGAAAUGCGAUAACUAAUGUGAAUUGCAGAAUUCAGUGAAUCAUCGAGUCUUUGAACGCACAUUGCGCCCCCUGGUAUUCCGGGGGGCAUGCCUGUCCGAGCGUCUUUGCUGCCCUCAAGCCCGGCUUGUGUGUUGGGCCCUCGUCCCYCGGCUCCUGGGGUACGGACCCGAAAGG
This 403-nucleotide ribosomal RNA is filed under the name Aspergillus sp. Its description in RNAcentral is "partial 18S ribosomal RNA". The stretch from base 180 to 333 matches the Rfam family "5.8S ribosomal RNA". The record is from RNAcentral. Lineage: Eukaryota; Fungi; Ascomycota; Eurotiomycetes; Eurotiales; Aspergillaceae.